CCUGUGAUAUUUUGGUAUGAAUUUUAGAACUCUCAAGGGAUUUUCUCUUAUAUAGUCCCCCCCGCCCCCCGCCCCACCUCUCAUCUUCUUUUAAAGAUCUUGGACAAGUAUGAAAACAGAUUAAAAAGUGCAGUUUCUACCAAUCCUCAGAAAGGGCCCACAAGGAACACCACCUUUGAUUGGCGUUGGUUGGUUGUGGUUGUGGUUUUCUUUAUUUGUACUUACCCAUGAAACUGAGUUACUUUUUUAUUCAAGAUAUUUGAACUGUUUUUCUUAAAUCCAGAAUUUAAGAAAUGAAUUAACUUUUUAUUCUAACCUCCCAUAAAAACUUUUGUUUUUCUGACUGAUUUUUUUAUCUAGUCUUCUAGAACUGUUUUAGUUUUAGAAUUGAAAAAUAUGAUGAAGAUACUCUUAUUUACACUACUGAUGAUAUGUGAAGAAAAUUAAUCUUGCAUUGAAUAAAAAGUGAAUUGAAAGUUUUCCAUCCUGCACCCAUAGUAAACAUCAUGAUUGCAGUUAGGGCAUGAGAUUCUUUUCAUUUGUUUGCUUCUUUCAUAAAUAAUCAACCCUCUGUGAUUCAAUCCAUUUUUAAAUCUUCAAAAGGCUAAAAUUAUGUCUUUCAUGUGCUUUUACUAUUUCAAAUUUUUCAUUACAGUUAUCAUAGCACCAUGAACACAGUUUGUGCCUUUGAAAUGUUAGAUUAUUAGGAUUAAUUCAGAAAAUUAUUGUUUUGUGAUCCUGUAUAGUCAGCAGGGAUAAAUUUGACUCUUAAUGUAGGCACUGAUGUUAUUUAUAAAGUUUACAAACAUUUAAAAAAGCACAAGCUGCUAUUUUUAUCCUUAGUCACUAUUUUAAUUCACUUACUGAAGUUCCCCUUUGUAAGAGUUAACAUCCUUUAUUGGAGAUUUUCUCUAUUAACCCUCAAAUUACCUUUCAUCAGAUUCCAGAUUCUGAUCCUGCACUGUACUUUUUUAGUUGCUGUUGGAUAGCUCUAAGCCAUGGUUUUUUCAUUACAUAUCAACAAACUUUACUUUUGGAAUUGUUGCCGAGGCAAUAGAUGUAAAUAUCCAUAAUAAGUGACAUCAUAACAAAGCUGCCAGCAAAGGCACUAUAAGACAAAGUUUUGAUACAAUCAAAACACUUGAGAAACAGGUGAAACAGGAUUUUAUUAUGGGUUGUUUACAUGUUUCCUCUUUAUAAAGAUCACCUAAAAUGUAAUGAAUUUGAAAUUGAUUCUAUUGAUUUCAAUUGUUUACUGGCCAAAGUGACUCAGGGCUCUCUUGUACUCUUGUGUCCUUCUCCCCUUCCCUCCACCUCAUUUAAUGUCCAAUACUCCAGUCUCAAGUUGACAUUACCAUUGCAUAGAAGAAUGCAUGUAGAUAAUAUUUUUGUUAACCAUGUAAAAUCCAUUCUGCAUAGUUUUUAUUUGUUCAGUAAUUGGUAUAUUGAAAAGAAUGAUCCUGCCUGUUGCAUUCUUCUCUCCUUCCUGAUGUAGUUAAUGUCAUAUCCUCUGACAUGAGACAGCACUAAGAAGUCACUUGAGAAUUGAUACACAAGCUUGAUUUGCUUUCUUCUUUGUCCCUGGGUGCUCUAUGCGAUUCCUUAAUUUCAUGGGGGGGGGCAUAUCUUCACUAAAUAUAGACUACAGAUCAGCAAAACUAAUUAACAGCUUUGACAUUUCUGGGGCAGAAAUCUUUCCCACUGGGUAAGCCUUAAUUAUUUAAUAGAAUAAUUCAUUUAGUCAAAUAACUUAAAGUAGGGCAAUAUUUCUUUGAAAAAGAUUAAUAGAGUAACAGAAUAUUUAAACACUACAUCUAUAUGUGUAUGUAUUGAAAAGUACCAACCAUAUAUAUUCUUUAUUUGUAAUUUUACUUUAAUAUUAGAAUUGCAAUCAGAAGUUUGUUUGGCGUUUGAAGAAAUAAGGUUGAUUCUGAUCUGAGAAAAUUAGGUUGAUUCUGAUUAGAUAUGUCUAAAGAAUUCAACAUAAAAUUAUAAAAGAGCUCAUGCUGAUAUUCUGGAGGAAAACAUUUGACUGUGUCUUCAUUAUGUAGGCUGUAAAUCUUUCAAGUUUCUAAAGUUGCUAGGCUGAUGAUGUAAACUGUCUCAAGUAAAUCUGAUCCUCAGCGAAUUACUGAAGCAAUUAUAAAGUAGUUUUCUUUAUCAUAUAUAUGAUAUAGUAUAUAUUAUAUACUAUAUAUGUUUAUAUAUAUUUACUAUAUAUUUUUUGAUAUAUUAUAUCAAAGUAUAAUAUUUACUGGUAAAAUGCUACAAUAUGAGACUAUCUAUCAUAGAUCAAUUGCAUCUGGAGACCCAAAUUAGAAAAUAAAUGAACUGUGUUAAGCCAAAAAAGGAAAAAUAACAUGGUUCUGGGCUUUUAAUAAUUCAGCAUAUAAUACUAGCAUAAGAGAGGACCCACAAUAAAUGCUGAACAAAUAAAAUAGAUACAGCAGGGAGGUCAUAGUUGUAAGUACGCUAAGUGCAAUGGUUAGUUUUAGGACUUUGUAUGCCCUUUGAAAUACACACAUAGAUACUAACAAUAAAAUAAUUACUUACAUAUUGAUCAAAACUCAAAACCAACACUGAUUUUCAUAAGCCUAUGAAAAAGCGGUAUAAACAGGGUGUUGCCAAAAAAUGAAAAAUAAUGUAAGUAUUGGUAACUAAAUUAUAGCACACAGCCACCUCUUUAAGAAUUGUUUUCCUGGAAAAAUAUUAUUUUCUUCACUGACCUCUGACAGAAAUAAUUGUGUCUGUCUUUGAACUUUUAAAAUACUGUUUAUAAAAUGAUUAUUAUCUCAUUUCACACAUUUAUUUGUCUUGCUAUCUCACCCCCUGAGCUGAUCAUGACCUACUGAAAGGCAGAGCCCAUCUUUUCUCUCUCUACUGCCCUGUAGCAAUCAGCAGUCACCCAACCAGUCCUUGACUUUCAAAGCCAUUGUUUUGAACUUGUAGAUGCCUGACAAUAUUAUUCAUUUUAGAGUCACCUGGGAAACCUAUUAUGGCUCCCAAACUCUGUCCUAGAUCCACUGAAACAAAAUCACUGGGGGAAGAUGGAGUCUAGGACUUUAUAUUAAGCAAGCCUCUAAGUACUCAAAAUUGAACUCGGGACCUUGUGCUUGCCAGCCAGGCGCGGCACCACUGAGCUAAGUUCCCGGCCCCAGCACAUCUUAAGUCAGAAGCAAUUCACAAGCCAGAAAAUAUGAAAGUACCUUUAUCAUGGCCUCGUAAUGAAUUUGAAAGAUUGUGCUUGGGAGGAAUAGAGAAAGACACUCACUCAUUUAGUUUAUAAAUGAUGAAAUUAAUUGAUCACAUUAGUUCCUUAUCUGCAAUAAAGAUUAUUUUAAAAGA
Heterocephalus glaber (naked mole-rat) is the source of this 3345-nucleotide non-coding RNA. The record is from RefSeq and is a predicted model, not a curated record. NCBI's taxonomy places the organism in Eukaryota, Metazoa, Chordata, Mammalia, Rodentia, Bathyergidae.